Molecule: long non-coding RNA, 976 nt
Filed under: Gossypium barbadense (sea-island cotton)
Lineage: Eukaryota; Viridiplantae; Streptophyta; Magnoliopsida; Malvales; Malvaceae
Description: long non-coding RNA (GBAR_LNC008456)
Source: RNAcentral
AAAAAAUAAAAAAUAAAAAUAAAAAAAGAGUAAAAUAAAGAAGAUAAAAUCACCUUUAGGUAUUUUUUGAAGAUAAAUUCUUUGUAUUGAUCAAAAUUCCCUCUUCCCUUACAUGAUUUUUGAAUGGCUUUUUAUAGCCAUCUUUUACAUGAUUUUCUAUUAUUUCUUUUUCUAUUUUGUAGGUGGUGGUGGUAGACAAUGGAUAUCAAAAAUGGGAGGAAAAAUGGGGCAAGUGGGAAAGUGGCUAGGUGGCUAAAGUUUCUUGGUUUUUUUUGGGGGGUUAGGUUUUUCUUUUUUUUGGGGGGGGUUAGGUUUUUUCUUUUUUUUGGGGGGGUUAGGUUUUUUUUUGGGGAGGGCUUAAUGGGCUUUUGAAUUGGGUUUAAUAUUUGGGUUUUGUAAUGGGUUUGGAUAGAUGUAAAUGGGUCAUGGGUUAAGGGUUUUAGUGAGUUUAGAGGUUUGGUUGGGUUUUGAUAUAAUCGGGCCCGGGCAAUUUGGGCUUCUACAGCUGCCCCUCUUUGCUCAUUGUCGUGCAACGAUAAUAGAGCAAAGACUUUCAAGGAAGACCAAACUUGCCCGGUCUUGCUAGGUCUUGACUUGCUUUGGAACUCUUCUUGUUUAGUUAGUCCCUUUUCAGUCCACCGCAUCUUGUAGCUUUGGUUCAAUCCACUGCAAAUUCGGAGAUAUGCCUUGUAGCUUCAAUCUGUUCCAAUGUAACUUCAAGGAUAUGAGAUUUGUGGCUUCGAUCCGCUUCACUGUAACUUCAGAAAGAUAAGAUCUACAACUUCAAUAAGCUCUUCUAUCGCUUCAAUGAGAUAAGGUUUUGGUCUUCUCUUCUGCCACUUUAGAAAGGCAAGAUCUGAUAUCCUCGAUCAGCUCCACUGUAACUUCAAUUAGCUUCACUGUAACUUCAGGGAUAUAAAAUCUGUGUCUUCGAUUAAUUCCAGUCUUUAUUCUUCACUCGGCAUGUGAUCCUGAG